Long non-coding RNA from Drosophila innubila, 377 nucleotides. RefSeq lists it as uncharacterized. The transcript has 4 exons. Lineage: Eukaryota; Metazoa; Arthropoda; Insecta; Diptera; Drosophilidae. The record is from RefSeq and is a predicted model, not a curated record.
CUUCGGUGAACCACGUGCGUGAAUUUUCAUUUGCGUCGAACAUUUUGUGAAAGAUGGAUUGAACACAAUAUGGUUGAUGUGGAAGCACAUUGAAAUUAAACAACAAUUAAGGCAUUAUGUCUUGAAAAGAAGUGAGAGCCUCUUACAAGAUGGCGACGGGUGAAAUCCCCUGACGGCGUGGACCUAUAAAGUGAGGUUAUGUCUUGCACUUUGAAUGCAUUCUUCUUCAAAGUUGAAAAAAAAGAGAGACGAACUCCAACUUUGACCAGAUUCAUGUCGCAAUGCACUGUGUGCAGAAAUUGAAGUUUAUAUAUUCAUAAAUUUUAUUAAACAGAAAAAUUAUACAUAUGCUGAAUUAAAUGUGUUUUAUAUGAUUA